AAGUAGGUUAUUGGAUAUCAUCAGCAGCCAAGACUUCUACUAUUUCAUUCUUCGGUGAUACUCUCUAGACUUGGUAGCCAAUGGUCAGAAGAAGACCAUACAUUCUUAGGAGAGCUUCUUAACCCUUUUCCCGUUAGAUCUUGUGUCCUCCUCCUGGUUAAUGUAUUGUCAUUACGAGGUUAUUUGUUUUCUUUGCAGUGCUUUUAUUCAUGAAGACACAACAAGUGGAAAGCAUACCAUCAUCUUUUUCCUCUUUGCUGGAUUGUGUGUUUCUAAUCUCAUAAACUGAAGAACUGGUUGCAAUUUCAUGAGCAGGAGAAGGAGAGCUCCUUGGAGAUAGCCCUUGAAGUUUUCUUAUUGUGCUCAAUGGUACUACAUAGUACUUUUGUCCAAGCACAAGCUUUGCAUCUGGUUCAACAACUGCCCAUGGUUGCUGGAACACAUUUGGAUAUGUUACACAACAUCUUGGAUAGCGGCACAUAAUCUCAGCUGCAGUCACUGGUCUGUCAUGGAGCUCAACAUACCCACCACGAUGGACAAUAUGUAGAAGCGUGGUCUUUGGAUUCCUUGCCGAAAUCCGGCGUGGAAAUGGCAUGGUUUCCCUGUGUUUUGGGAGUUCGGGAACGGGUGGGGGCUAUUCUAAACUCAUUAGGAAGAGUAUUUAAGUACUUCAUCAAGGUGAAGUGGUAAAAGGAAAAUUUCAAGACAUGUUGCCUUGGCUGUUAGUGAUUUCCUUCAUUGGUAGUAUCGUUAAAAUUGUCUCCUAUCGAGGCAUUGUAGAAUGAAUCUUCUGUAUCAUUCAUGUUUCUCUUGUUUUCUUUUCCAAGAUUGCAUUUAUGCCUACUAAGAUGACAUUUUAUAAUGCAUUUUUUCUCACCAUGAAAUGGAACUAUACAAGAUGUUCCCUUAUAAGAGAAAAAAAUUAAGUGAUUAAAAUAAAACUUUUAUGCUAAUGUAAUUCAAUCUUUGAAAAUAUUAGUUCAAA
This is a non-coding RNA of Vigna umbellata (rice bean), 985 nucleotides long. Lineage: Eukaryota; Viridiplantae; Streptophyta; Magnoliopsida; Fabales; Fabaceae. The record is from RefSeq and is a predicted model, not a curated record.